CUUGUACUCCCUCCGUCCGAAAAUACUUGUCAUUGAAAUGGAUGUAUCUAGAUGUAUUUUAGUUCUAGACACAUCCAUUUUGAUGACAAGUAAUUCCGGACAGAGGGAGUACUUG
Molecule: non-coding RNA, 115 nt
Organism: Triticum aestivum (bread wheat)
Lineage: Eukaryota; Viridiplantae; Streptophyta; Magnoliopsida; Poales; Poaceae
Source: Rfam